UUGCAGAACGGCAGGGUGCACUCAAAUAAUGAUUUAUUGUCUUCGUCGAGACAGUACGCGAAACUAGCACGACGCAGAUUGUUUGAAUCUAGUUAAAACCUCAAGUCUUUCUUAAAAGUCAGAGUGUUUUCCUGCAGUGACAGAGAGUGUCACCUUCAAACCGUAACAGGUGUUGCAGCCUGUAUGUGUGUGUGAUACAUCAUCACAAUUUGGGGAUGUUUCGUCCACAUCCGGGUAAUCCGAGUUCGUGGAUGUGUGUGUGAUAUACUGUUGGCGACAACCGUUGACGAGAUUUUAUCACGACUGCAUGUGACUAUUUCGUGCUGGAUGAUAUUGUUCUGUGUAUCAUGACUGUGUGUGGCGGUUGCUGAUGAUGUGAUACACAAAGGAGACUUAUUUGGGUCAAGGCAACAGACCUGGCAAUGUCUGCAGCACAACAUAUGGGGGUAUAUCACGUUCAGACCUCGCCCAAUGGAAUGAUCAUAAAAUAGUGUGCAAGGGCAGGCUCAGAACUCAUACCCUUUGGACGUCCACAUGUGCUCUGUUCCAUUGACAUCGGAAACGUAAAUACAAGGAUCGUGACAUAAGGCUUUCAGCAACAUGGAUUAACAAUUUGAAGUGUUGCACUUGAUGUCUGGGACCAAUUCAAGAAUAAAGACGUAGUGGUUCAUCUCAUCUUCUGAACUGGGCAGCUACUAAGUCAUGGCGAGGCUUGGUGUUGUGUUGUUGGCAUACUGUCUGUCCAUCUGUGUGUCUGGGAGUCUGUGUCCAGCUGGAACAACAAGGAAAGUGUCACUGAAUGGAAAACUUGGGUCUCAGGAGUUUCCAAAUCUAUUUUUCAUGGAAAAUAUUUUAUCAAACAUGACAAACCUGGGGGAGGAUGUACAUCUGGAUAUAUCAGAAAAUGCUAUUACAGAUUUGCCGUUUCAAGUAUUCAACCACACAAUCUUUCAACGAGUUACUUCCUUGAAUUUGUCAAACAAUAACCUAACAAAGAUAUCAGAAGGGUUAUUUAACCAGUUCAAGUGUUUAAAAAUCUUAAAUUUAGCUGAUAAUGAACUUGAGAAGAUUUCAAAUGAUGCCUUUAAUGAACACAGUGAUCUUGUGGAGCUCAUACUCAAGAAUAAUGUUCUGACAAAUCUUCCCUCAGGAAUCCUUGGUACUGGUGAAGAGAACUCAACCCUGAGGAGAUUUGAUGCAUCUCGGAACAGGAUCAGAUUCAUUGGUGACAAUGUCUUCCAUGAGGGUCUGGUCUUUCUGGAGCAAGUUGAUCUUUCUUAUAACUACCUGGAGGCAUUUGAGCCCUGGCCAUACAUUCCAAGGAUAUCAAUCUAUUCAAAUAAGCUGUUCUUCAAUCUUCAGUAUAAUCACAUCUCACGUUUCUCAAACACUCUGGGGUGGACACAGAUCAGAGAGCCCAAUGUAAUUGUUAAUCUUACACACAACAGACUCAGGUACUUCAGGAAAGAGGAUUUCAGUCAAUAUGUGGCCGGUAAGAUGCCUACAAUAGUUCAAAUAGAUGAAAUGAGGCUCAUUGUCCGGGACAACCCAUGGUUCUGUGAUUGUGGAUUUCAUUAUUUAUUGAAGCAAAUCAAUGACACGUUCUAUUAUGGUACUAAUGUUGCCCAAAGCUUCAUGAGCUGUGAUGGUCCCAGUGAAUUCAAGGGAUACAAUCUUUCUUAUUUCUUCAAUCAUCCAGACCAACUUAUUUGUAAUAUCACAGAAAGAUGUCCUGCUGACUGCAAGUGUCAAGACCGACCUCAUGAUGGCUACAUACUUGUGGACUGCUCCAGUGCAGGAGAAUACGCCGACUUACCACAGACUGUGCCUCCGGGGCCAUUGUUUCUUCAACUGCCUCAUAACAAAAUAACUUCAUUGUCUCGCAGAGAUUACCUACAAAAUAUCACAAAACUUGAUGUGUCUUCAAAUAACAUUUUACAUUUGGAAGAUUCCUUUCUUGAGAAAGUAACAAGUUUGGAAUAUAUUGACAUUAGAAACAACAGUUUAAAGACUCUGCCACAUAAACUUAGAAACUUUCGCAUGUCAUCCGUCAGGUUCAGUGGAAACCCACUCGUCUGCUCAUGUGACACCAUUUGGCUAAAUGAUUGGGUAAGACGUAAUUCUGAGAACAUGUCUUCUGACUUCCUGUCUCGUCAUUUGUGCUAUCACAAUGGACGUUAUUUACGUCUUGUCGAUUUGAAUUGGAACUCUCUCGUCUGUUAUCGAGAUAUCGCCAUUAGUGUCAGUGUGGUGCUUGGAGUGUUACUUAUCAUUCUCAUCGUUUGUACUGUCGUCUGCUGCAAGCGGAAAUACGAGUGUAAAGUAUUGUUGUAUGAUUACUUCCAUGUUCAUCUUUUUGACAAAGAAUCAUGUGAAAAGACAGAAGAUACUAAGAAAAUAUAUGAUGUGUACCUUUCUAUGGAUAGGGAAAACGAGGACAUCCGACUUUGGGUGAAAGAUGAACUUUUGAAGCGACUCGAGAAAACGUCAAAGUCUCGUCCAGUAUACAAGGUGUAUUACCCCUGUCGUCAGGACAACUUUGGGGACAGCAUAGCAGAUCAGAUGGUGGAGAACAUCAACAAAAGUAGAAGAGUUCUUGCCAUUGUAAAUAGCUCCUAUCUUCAAAACGGCUGGUCAUUAGAAGAAUUCGACCAAGGACAUGAUCUUAUGGAAAAAACUAAAUCAGGUCGUCUGAUUGUUUUACAGCACGGUGAUCUUGACCUCUCUACUGUGACACAGGAGCCAUUGAAGACCUACUUGAGUGGACGUCAUUGUUUGAAUGUCUCUGACCGGUGGUUGUGGAGGAAACUAAGAUACGAACUGCCUGAAAAACCUUGAACCAACCCCAUAUCUGCGUCCAGGGAGAGCCUCGCGAGUGGUAUCAGUACUAUUCACACUUCUCUGUCCGAGAGUAGUGGAAUAUCUGGGAACCAGAUGGACAACCCUGAUUUGGUGUCGACUGAUGUGGUAUAGGUGUAGUGAACUUCACUUGACAUCUCCUUAAGAGAAACUGCUGAGCAGAUUCAGCUCAAAUGUGAUGGCACCAAGGUAACGAGUGUUCGAGUUGUGUUUAAGUCGUCUUUGGCAGUAUUUGUAUGAAUAUGAAGGUCUCUCACCUGGGCUGUUGUAGAUGAUGUCAAUCUAUAUGUUAUUACUUGUUUUCAGAAACUGCUGAUUCAAGUAUGCUUAAAUUUGAAUCGAUCGUUUUCAUUUCAUGUGGGCGGUCAGGUAGCCUUGUGGUUCAAGCGUUCGCUCGUCACGCCGAAGAACCGGGUUCGAUUCCCGACAUGGGUGCAAUGUGUGAAGCCCAUUUCUGGUGUCCCCCGCCGUGAUAUUGCUGGAAUAUUGCUAAAAGCGGCGUAAAAACAUACUCACUCACUCACUCCUUUCAUGGAGUUGCAUUUUGGUUAAGCAGUCAAAAUAUUGUUUUUGGAAAUCAGUAUUGUACGUGGCAUAAAUUGUUAAGACUUUCACACAGUUACUUUUAUGUAUAAAUGUUUACAAACUGUGCACAAUGAUUUAUGUAAGUUCUAUGCAGAAAGAGGUAUAAAGUUAAAUCUAAACAAACCAACGUGGAAGCUGGAUUGUGUAGUACAGAUGGCGCUCCAGCGUCAUACAAGGGUAGAGUUGUAAAAUAGGGUUUAGGGCCACGCGAUUGUCACACAACUGUAUGCAUGUUUACAAGAUGUGUACAACUGUAUGACUUUGACAAUAUCACAGUGGGAUUCGGAUUUCUUGAAAUUUCGUUAUUGAUUUGAUAAAUAGGAGCUUAAGUUAGUUAGGCUUAAGAAUUACAGUAAACUACGGUUAUAACGAACACGCUUAUAACGAACUAACUUUUUAGUCCCGACUAUUUGCUGUAGUUAUGCUGUAUAUAUGCUUAUAACGAACUACGGUUAUAACGAACUGAAAAAAGUAGUCCCUUUGAGUUCGUUAUAACCGUAGUUUACUGUAGUUGUGUAAUUGUAGAACCUUGUGGAUAUGCUGACCAUUUCACAUAACAACAUACACAACUCAUACAAACUAUAUUAAAUACAAAUAUGGUAUCUGGCAAAUAUUGCAAAACUGGUUUUGGUUGACAUUAGUUAACAGUAGAUGUGAAUGUAUAACAUCGUGUAAUCAGGUGAGCUACACUGUCCUGUGCGUUUUCAGGCAUACUGAAUUGCAGGCUUCGGUGAGUAAUCACCAAUUUAAUAUUUGUGUAGCUUUUGCACUGUUAUGAAGGCUAUGCUUAUGUUGUCCCUCAAACAUUCCUGAAAUAUUUAACUGGUCCCAGUGUGUGCUGCGUGUUGUGUGUUGUGAACCAUUGUAUUACCACUUCCUGGUAUACUGUUACAUCGGCCCUUAUAACGCCUCAGCUUAGCAUGAACAUGCACGAUCUUUUUAGAUUAUAAACCACUUGCCUCCGGUGUUGUAUCAAACCUAACGCGGCGGGACGCAUAAACAACACAUAUUCCCUGAACAAUACUGCCACAACUUAUUGUUUUCUUGCGUUAGAAACGUUUGAUUCUCUAACCAUAUUCAUAAAAAUCGCAAAAUUUUGGAAUUCAAUACACACGACGUGGAAAGAAUCACUUUCUAUGAACUGUUGUAGUUAUCACACGGUGCACUAUGGAAAACAAACGUGGAUUUAUCGCCACAAAGAACGAGUCUGUAUUUUAGAGCAAUAUACUUCAGGAAUCGGAGGAAUUUUUUUUUGUAUAAAAACUCUGUUGGGUAGUUUUUAUUCAAAUAUUCUAGUUUGUUUGUUGUUUUACGCCGCACUAUUCCAACUAUAUGAAGACUGUCUGUAAAUAAUCGAGUCUGGACCAGACAUCAUGACCUUUGAUCCACACAAUUGGGAUACGACGACAUUUAUCAACGCGUCUGACCAUCCCAUCCUGUUAGUCGCCUCUUACAACAAGCAUAUAAAUAGUUUAGUAGUUUAUAUAUGUCAGCCUGUUGUAGAAAAUAUGUGUACUUAUAGGCAAAUAAAUAGUAAGUAAAAAUA
RNA transcript from Haliotis rufescens (red abalone), 4990 nucleotides. It is a transcript of the gene named protein toll-like, with no coding region annotated. The record is from RefSeq and is a predicted model, not a curated record. The transcript is spliced from 2 exons. Lineage: Eukaryota; Metazoa; Mollusca; Gastropoda; Lepetellida; Haliotidae.